This 445-nucleotide long non-coding RNA is filed under the name Homo sapiens (human). RNAcentral's name for it is "non-protein coding lnc-TMA16-4:4". The record is from RNAcentral. Lineage: Eukaryota; Metazoa; Chordata; Mammalia; Primates; Hominidae.
AUUCGGCUAAUCAAUGUCUUUUAAGUUUCUCCUCAGAAACGGUGGCCAAUCAUCAUCUAUACAAAUCCAUGACAGGAUGAAAUGAGUUCAUGUGGAUCUGGGUGGCUCAAAGGAUGGACGACAGCAGGUGCUAUGGAGUCCUUUGUACUCUCUGUGAUUUUCCUGUGUCUAAGGACAGGAGAUGGCAUAAGCAGAUAAAAGGUGCAGAGUUGUAUUAGAAGUCCACACAUCCCAUGAAAGGCAUGGAAAAAUAGAAAGUUAUUCAUCAGAUUGCAAUGGACCUCUUAUAUAUGUACAGAGGAAGAACCAUUGUGAGGAUAAAGCAAGAAGACAACCGUCUGCAAGCCAGGAAGGGAAACUUUAUCAGAAAGCAACUGUGCUGGAACCCUGAUUUUAGAUUUUGUAGUCUUUAGAAAAGAAAUAAAAAUUAUUUUUGUUUAAGCUA